This 497-nucleotide ribosomal RNA is filed under the name uncultured bacterium. RNAcentral describes it as "partial 16S ribosomal RNA". It matches the Rfam family "Bacterial small subunit ribosomal RNA", at positions 28 to 507 of the family's 1533-position model. The record is from RNAcentral.
GAUGAACGCUGGCGGCGUGCCUAAUACAUGCAAGUCGAGCGAACAGACGAGGAGCUUGCUCCUUUGACGUUAGCGGCGGACGGGUGAGUAACACGUGGAUAACCUACCUAUAAGACUGGGAUAACUUCGGGAAACCGGAGCUAAUACCGGAUAAUAUAUUGAACCGCAUGGUUCAAUAGUGAAAGACGGCUUUGCUGUCACUUAUAGAUGGAUCCGCGCCGCAUUAGCUAGUUGGUAAGGUAACGGCUUACCAAGGCAACGAUGCGUAGCCGACCUGAGAGGGUGAUCGGCCACACUGGAACUGAGACACGGUCCAGACUCCUACGGGAGGCAGCAGUAGGGAAUCUUCCGCAAUGGGCGAAAGCCUGACGGAGCAACGCCGCGUGAGUGAUGAAGGUCUUCGGAUCGUAAAACUCUGUUAUUAGGGAAGAACAGAUGUGUAAGUAACUAUGCACGUCUUGACGGUACCUAAUCAGAAAGCCACGGCUAACUACGUG